This 492-nucleotide ribosomal RNA is filed under the name uncultured bacterium. RNAcentral's name for it is "partial 16S ribosomal RNA". It matches the Rfam family "Bacterial small subunit ribosomal RNA", at positions 29 to 507 of the family's 1533-position model. The record is from RNAcentral.
AGUGAACGCUGGCGGUAGACCUAACACAUGCAAGUCGAACGGCAGCACAGUAAGAGCUUGCUCUUACGGGUGGCGAGUGGCGGACGGGUGAGGAAUACAUCGGAAUCUACUUUUUCGUGGGGGAUAACGUAGGGAAACUUACGCUAAUACCGCAUACGACCUACGGGUGAAAGCAGGGGAUCUUCGGACCUUGCGCGAUUGAAUGAGCCGAUGUCGGAUUAGCUAGUUGGCGGGGUAAAGGCCCACCAAGGCGACGAUCCGUAGCUGGUCUGAGAGGAUGAUCAGCCACACUGGAACUGAGACACGGUCCAGACUCCUACGGGGGGCAGCAGUGGGGAAUAUUGGACAAUGGGCGAAAGCCUGAUCCAGCCAUACCGCGUGGGUGAAGAAGGCCUUCGGGUUGUAAAGCCCUUUUGUUGGGAAAGAAAAGCAGCAGGUUAAUACCCCGCUGUUCUGACGGUACCCAAAGAAUAAGCACCGGCUAACUUCGUG